AGGACGAACGCUGGCGGCGUGCCUAAUACAUGCAAGUCGAACGAACUCUGGUAUUGAUUGGUGCUUGCAUCAUGAUUUACAUUUGAGUGAGUGGCGAACUGGUGAGUAACACGUGGGAAACCUGCCCAGAAGCGGGGGAUAACACCUGGAAACAGAUGCUAAUACCGCAUAACAACUUGGACCGCAUGGUCCGAGUUUGAAAGAUGGCUUCGGCUAUCACUUUUGGAUGGUCCCGCGGCGUAUUAGCUAGAUGGUGGGGUAACGGCUCACCAUGGCAAUGAUACGUAGCCGACCUGAGAGGGUAAUCGGCCACAUUGGGACUGAGACACGGCCCAAACUCCUACGGGAGGCAGCAGUAGGGAAUCUUCCACAAUGGACGAAAGUCUGAUGGAGCAACGCCGCGUGAGUGAAGAAGGGUUUCGGCUCGUAAAACUCUGUUGUUAAAGAAGAACAUAUCUGAGAGUAACUGUUCAGGUAUUGACGGUAUUUAACCAGAAAGCCACGGCUAACUACGUGCCAGCAGCCGCGGUAAUACGUAGGUGGCAAGCGUUGUCCGGAUUUAUUGGGCGUAAAGCGAGCGCAGGCGGUUUUUUAAGUCUGAUGUGAAAGCCUUCGGCUCAACCGAAGAAGUGCAUCGGAAACUGGGAAACUUGAGUGCAGAAGAGGACAGUGGAACUCCAUGUGUAGCGGUGAAAUGCGUAGAUAUAUGGAAGAACACCAGUGGCGAAGGCGGCUGUCUGGUCUGUAACUGACGCUGAGGCUCGAAAGUAUGGGUAGCAAACAGGAUUAGAUACCCUGGUAGUCCAUACCGUAAACGAUGAAUGCUAAGUGUUGGAGGGUUUCCGCCCUUCAGUGCUGCAGCUAACGCAUUAAGCAUUCCGCCUGGGGAGUACGGCCGCAAGGCUGAAACUCAAAGGAAUUGACGGGGGCCCGCACAAGCGGUGGAGCAUGUGGUUUAAUUCGAAGCUACGCGAAGAACCUUACCAGGUCUUGACAUACUAUGCAAAUCUAAGAGAUUAGACGUUCCCUUCGGGGACAUGGAUACAGGUGGUGCAUGGUUGUCGUCAGCUCGUGUCGUGAGAUGUUGGGUUAAGUCCCGCAACGAGCGCAACCCUUAUUAUCAGUUGCCAGCAUUAAGUUGGGCACUCUGGUGAGACUGCCGGUGACAAACCGGAGGAAGGUGGGGAUGACGUCAAAUCAUCAUGCCCCUUAUGACCUGGGCUACACACGUGCUACAAUGGAUGGUACAACGAGUUGCGAACUCGCGAGAGUAAGCUAAUCUCUUAAAGCCAUUCUCAGUUCGGAUUGUAGGCUGCAACUCGCCUACAUGAAGUCGGAAUCGCUAGUAAUCGCGGAUCAGCAUGCCGCGGUGAAUACGUUCCCGGGCCUUGUACACACCGCCCGUCACACCAUGAGAGUUUGUAACACCCAAAGUCGGUGGGGUAACCUUUUAGGAACCAGCCGCCU
RNAcentral lists this ribosomal RNA (1467 nucleotides) under Lactiplantibacillus plantarum. RNAcentral's name for it is "bacterial SSU rRNA". It matches the Rfam family "Bacterial small subunit ribosomal RNA". Lineage: Bacteria; Bacillati; Bacillota; Bacilli; Lactobacillales; Lactobacillaceae. The record is from RNAcentral.